Molecule: transfer RNA, 76 nt
Filed under: Chloroflexaceae bacterium
Lineage: Bacteria; Bacillati; Chloroflexota; Chloroflexia; Chloroflexales; Chloroflexaceae
Description: tRNA-Gly
Rfam family: tRNA
About the family: Transfer RNA (tRNA) molecules are approximately 80 nucleotides in length.
Source: RNAcentral
GCGGGAGUAGCUCAGUUGGUAGAGCGUCUCUCUCCCAAGGAGAAGGUCGCGGGUUCGAAUCCCGUCUCCCGCUCCA